AUUGAACGCUGGCGGCAGGCCUAACACAUGCAAGUCGAGCGGAUGAAGGGAGCUUGCUCCUGGAUUCAGCGGCGGACGGGUGUGUAAUGCCUAGGAAUCUGCCUGGUAGUGGUGGAUAACGUCCGGAAACGGGCGCUAAUACCGCAUACGUCCUGAGGGAGAAAGUGGGGGAUCUUCGGACCUCACGCUAUCAGAUGAGCCUAGGUCGGAGUAGCUAGUUGGUGGGGUAAAGGCCUACCAAGGCGACGAUCCGUAACUGGUCUGAGAGGAUGAUCAGUCACACUGGAAGUGAGACACGGUCCAGACUCCUAAGGGAGGCAGCAGGGGGGAAUAUUGGACAAUGGGGGAAAGCCUGAUCCAGCCAUGCCGCGUGUGUGAAGAAGGGCUUCGGAUUGUAAAGCACUUUAAGUUGGGAGGAAGGGCAGUAAGUUAAUACCUUGCUGUUUUGACGUUACCAACAGAAUAAGCACCGGCUAACUUCGUG
RNAcentral lists this ribosomal RNA (484 nucleotides) under uncultured bacterium. Its description in RNAcentral is "partial 16S ribosomal RNA". It matches the Rfam family "Bacterial small subunit ribosomal RNA", at positions 30 to 507 of the family's 1533-position model. The record is from RNAcentral.